CGCACGUGGAAAGUGACGAAUUUAUGAGAAUAUUUACCCGAUUUCGAAGACGUCUACAACGCUGUCGUUGCCCAGGUUGAGCAGCUGCCAAUGCCACUAACAAUAAGAUAAUAAUGAAGAAUUUCAUUUUUGCAGAGUGAUUUGUCUAUUCUCACAAUUUCUCCUGGUGUAUAUUUUAUGAUACCGAGGAGGCGGUAAGUCCUUUUAUAUACAAAACAAGAUGACUCGUGAAUGUGAAAUAAAUACUCAAGUUGUUGUUACAUGCUUAUUUGCACACUUGACGAGGUUCUUAUUGAGGAAAAAAAGUCUGCCUUUGUUCAUUUUCCCCACAACAAAAUUUGACGUUUGAGAUAACGAGUGUUAUUGGUUGGAUUGGCCUGAUCUGCCGCAAUAUUUUUCAGAAAAUUUUAUUUGCAAAAUUCCAUCAUACCACAAGGCAGCGUUGAUAGUUUUGAGUAGAGAAGAAAAAGUUGCUCCUGACGAUGAAGAUCUUGGCAAUUUCUGUUAUAAUUGCGAUGUUAUCAGUAGCGGUCAAUGCGCAACGCGACAGAGGCCUUGGAGAAUCGUGCUCUGAUAGUCUCCAGUGUUCGUCGGCUUAUUGUUACGACGGAAGGUGUAUUGAGUGGGGGACAAUCCAGGGUGAAGCGGGCCGUACGAAUCCUUGCUGGUUAGUCAGAUGUGCUGGGGGGCCUUGUGUCAUUGAACAAGGUCGAUGUUCCAACCCACCAUGUCCUGGUGGACCAAGCUGUCGGCCACCUCAAUAAAUUUUCCAUUGCAAAACAAACUUAUAAAAUUGAGAUUUUUCGUCAUCAAAAUCAACGCUGAUCAGCUUAUCAUUCUACAUAAUUUUUUAUGUCUAUGUAUAUAAUCUACAUUAUAUAUACUAUAUGUAUAAGUGUGUCUAUCGUUGUUACAAAAAUUCAUUCAAUCUCAAAAGUUGAAAUGAACUUGUCGAAUUAAACUUAUGAUUGAAGCAAUUAAAUUUGCACUUGUAAUUAAAUGAAUUAUAAAUUAUAAAGUAUCAGAAUUAAUAAAUACGUUUAAUGAUAUCAUAUGUGAAACUGUCCCGAGACCGUUGUCCACCGUCCCAUUGCUCUUUCCUCGACAUUUCCCAAAGUCGACAGCACUCUAAAUUCUUAUUAUACAUUCCAAAAUGUAAAACCAGUGACUCAUGUAAAAAUCCUUCCUUUUAGUAACAAAGAGGCGAGAUAAAAGAUAUUAUUGCUGUCAGUCAAGUUGUGCAAACAUUUGUCGGAGGAAAGAAGGGGACGUAAAAUACUCGCUCAAGCGAUUUACUUUGUAUAACCGGGGGAAUCCCCGGUUCAAUCGCUCUCCUACAUGCACUCGCAUGCGACAUUGAAAUUAUAAAAAACUCUGUCAUCGUCGACUGGCUAGAUAUCCGUUGUGAUUGAUGUUUUCACAACGGCUGUCCAUGAACAAUGACCCGUCUAGCCAGACUUCCAGGAUUUGUUGAGUCAAUUAUUAUUAGAAAUAAUGAACAGUGAAGAAGAUUGUUAUUAUACAAUAGAUGACGUAGGGAAGAGCCGUUACACGGAAUUGGUAUUUCAGUCACCGGCUUCGGAACGACGAAAAAAAUACGUAAUUUUUAUAAAAUAUUGCUCUCAGUGAAUUUUCAUUAUUUCAGUUUUGAUCGUGUCACCCAUCGAAUCUUUUAAAUUUUUCUUCAGACUAUUGUCGUGAACUAGUGGCUUCAAUAAUACAAUAAAAAAUGAUUGCUUAUUAUUUAUUUUAGUCACUAAAAUUAUGAAUCCAGUCGAGUAAGAAAAACAAUGUAAUAAUCCGCAAUAAAUCAGCGAAUAUGAAAUCAUCAUAACAUUUAAGGCCAAAUAUAUCUGAGGAAUAAUCAUUGUACAGUAAGAGGGGAUUCAAUUUUUGUGUAAUUAAAACAAAAAGAGUAGUCAGAGGAGAAGGAGAAGGAAAAUCUUCAAACAUCUAUAAAAGAAGGGAUUCCCGAACUCACUUGUAUUCAGAAACUAUUUUCCCAUCGAAACGUCAGCUCUUUCGACAUAAAAUAAUGAAAAUUUUCGCUGUUUUCGUCUCGCUGCUGUGCGUAAUAGUUUCAAUGGAAGAAGUCAGAUCCAAGGAAAUUCCGUGCACCACGAGUUCUGAAUGCAGCACGAAAUACUGCCGCUUUGGAGUAUGCACUACUUGGGGACAGAAUGAAGGGGAGGAAGGUCGUGAAAAUCCCUGCAAUUUGACAGAUUGUGCAAGCGGAUACUCUUGUGUCAUUAUGCAAGUGAAUUGUCUCGUGGCACCGUGUCCUGGGGCGUCGUACUGCGUUAAGGACUCUGCAACUCGAUAGAUUAUUCAAAAUUCAUUUCUGGAAAAGUCGCUCUUCUGGAACGAGUUUACUCUGUCCCUGUCUCAUCAGAUAUUUUUUCAAAUCUGUCUAUUUUAAUUGAAAAUAUCAUGGCAAAAGAUUAUUAACAUCGCAUGAUUAUAAACUGGACUUUUAAAUGAAUUUUCGAUAACAGAACAUGUCAAAAUUCUAGAUUUUUUGAGACUCACUUGUCAACGAAUCAUUAAAGAUGAAGAAUGCGUAUCAGACAUAUGUAAUAAAAUCUAUCAUUGUUAUAAUUUAUAAUAAUUAUAUUGAAAUUUAUCACGUUUACAGUUCACUCAAAAAAUACACUAGUCUGAGUACAUCUUAUUCAGCACAUUCGACAGAUCGAAUUAAAGAUGUCGCCAUGGAUUGAUCCUGAAGAUAUUGGGUCCUUCCGCCGUAUCGUCGUAAUCUGAUAAAUUGAAAAUGAGAAAUUAGUUCAUAUUUUUUUUAUCAUCGAACAAAUGUCACCUAAACCUAUCAAUAAUAAAAAUUACCUUCUCUAA
Molecule: long non-coding RNA, 2850 nt
Organism: Diachasmimorpha longicaudata
Lineage: Eukaryota; Metazoa; Arthropoda; Insecta; Hymenoptera; Braconidae
Exons: 7
Source: RefSeq, a predicted model, not a curated record